CGGGCCGCCUCGAAGCUCCCUUCCAACGGGCGGCGUGCUGAAUCCUUUGCAGACGACUUAAAACGCGACGGGGCAUUGUAAGUGGCAGAAUGGCCUUGCUGCCACGAUCCACUGAGAUCCAGCCCCGCGUC
Molecule: ribosomal RNA, 131 nt
Filed under: Zea mays
Lineage: Eukaryota; Viridiplantae; Streptophyta; Magnoliopsida; Poales; Poaceae
Description: partial ribosomal RNA
Source: RNAcentral